Amphimedon queenslandica is the source of this 128-nucleotide long non-coding RNA. RefSeq lists it as uncharacterized. The record is from RefSeq and is a predicted model, not a curated record. The transcript is spliced from 2 exons. NCBI's taxonomy places the organism in Eukaryota, Metazoa, Porifera, Demospongiae, Haplosclerida, Niphatidae.
UUAUUGUUGUUGUUGUUAUUAUUAUAACCUAAGACAUAGAAGUAAGAGCAAAACUAAACACAAACAAAAACUAAAGACCUACAGUACAUGAAAGAAAAGGGAGAAAAAGAGCUAACCAAAACAAGAAA